Long non-coding RNA from Triplophysa dalaica, 408 nucleotides. RefSeq lists it as uncharacterized. The record is from RefSeq and is a predicted model, not a curated record. The transcript has 3 exons. Lineage: Eukaryota; Metazoa; Chordata; Actinopteri; Cypriniformes; Nemacheilidae.
ACAGUGUGGAUUCUCCUCUCAAAAAUAUACCAGUUUUACGGUUUAUUUCCAUAAAUGUUAUGAAACAAUCCUAGUUUUAUGUUGUACUGUACUAUUAUGCGUUUAAGCAGAGCUUACUUCAGAUGUUGCACCAUAUCUAUAUCACAAACUGUGAUUGGUUUCUGCCAGCAAUGGUUUCUUCACCGAGAGGUUCAUCCAAGAUUUAAGGUGAAUUCCCCAAAAAGUGGAACAUCUUUUCUGCCUUGCAUUGAACCUGAAGUUCAUAUCCUGUGGGUCCUAUAGAAGGAGGCUAGCAGUCGCUCAUUGCGGCACAUGAUGGCAUUGAGGUCAGCAGGCAGGAUGGAGCUGGUCUGAGUGUCACGCAGGGUGCCACUGUUAGCAUUCAGACUGUCUAUGUACCAGCGUGAA